CCUCAUGUGCAGUGGCAGUAUCAUAACCAAUGAAGUUAAUCUGAGGUAUGAUUAUUGCUAGUUGAAAACUUGAUCUGUAUAUUAGCUGUAUUUUUAAACCCCUGGGAUGUUUUGCUGGAUUGUAUUUGAAUCU
This 133-nucleotide small nuclear RNA is filed under the name Gopherus evgoodei (Goodes thornscrub tortoise). Its description in RNAcentral is "U4 spliceosomal RNA (ENSGEVG00005017883.1)". The stretch from base 1 to 106 matches the Rfam family "U4 spliceosomal RNA". Rfam says of the family: U4 small nuclear RNA (U4 snRNA) is a component of the major U2-dependent spliceosome. The structure of U4 snRNA from yeast and human has been reported. U4 snRNA presents a k-turn RNA motif in the 5p-SL related to recognition of Snu13 protein. The record is from RNAcentral. Lineage: Eukaryota; Metazoa; Chordata; Testudines; Testudinidae.